Molecule: long non-coding RNA, 1955 nt
Organism: Triplophysa dalaica
Lineage: Eukaryota; Metazoa; Chordata; Actinopteri; Cypriniformes; Nemacheilidae
Exons: 3
Source: RefSeq, a predicted model, not a curated record
UUGUUGCAGCAACAGGAGGAGUGAAUUAUAUACUGUAAGACAGCAUAUCAUACCAGAAAGAAAGAAAAAAGUCAGAAGCCCUUUGUGUUGUCCAGUGUCACAUUGUUUAACAACCCGUCACAAGAAUCGAGAGCAAAUACUGUACAGGAAUCUGUCUUCAUUUGAGCCACAAGUUCACCUACAUCUUGUAAAUCUCUCUGUUGAUUUGAAAUCAUCCUCGAGCCAUGACGCAAAAGUUGACAAAAGAAUUGUUAAUGCAGUUAAUGGCCAAGCUGUCCUCAACUGCAGUUUUCGGAUCAUUUCCACUGAGCUGUUUGUUAAUCGGACUGGAGGCUUUGAUGGAUGUGGAGUUUUAUUGUCCGUGCAGAAUCGGGUGGAAUCGUGAUCUUUCUAAUCUGAUCAUAACCGCUCCUGCUUUCUUUGCCUUUGUAUUAAUGUUCUUAUGGUUAAGACCCUGUGGUUGUAAAGUCAAGUGUUGUACAUGUGAUUGUGUUAAAAGUUUCCUGCACUGUCUGAUUCCACCUGUGGUGUGGUUCUUUCUUGUGCUAUAUGAUGGCAGCUAUUACACUUGUAGUCUAACAGACUGGGAUGGAGUGUAUGUUUAUGAUGAGGUGCUGGGAAAUAAAUGGUGUAAACCCACUGAUGGGAACGCAAGUAGAGAAAUCCAACUACGAAAUAAAACUCAAACUUUUGUUGAUUGGUCACAGCUUGCAGGUUAUAUUCUGCUCAUGGUCAUUUGCGCUUUGACAUUACUUGUUGUGUGGAUCUAUGACUGCUGCAAAAAUUGUAAAUGCUGUGGAAAUGAACAACAGAACAGUGAAGAAGAGGAGAUGAAUCCAAUAAGAAAUGACAUACAACCUCAAAUCACUCAUGUUAAAUGUUCAGUGAACGACAUUUCACUUGUUCUGAGUACAAAUGCUCAAAACGAUAGCUCUUAAAGUAUCUUUUAACUGUAGAUCUUUAUAUCAACCUGUUACGCGGGGUUAUUUCAAUGUGCACUUUUUUAUGUAGUAAACUGGAAUAUGGUCCACUUGUGUGGUAAAUUUAGUAACUAUAGAUUUACUUCUUUCAAUUAUAUCCACGUCUCUUUUUGUGGAAAGAGAUUUAUUUUCAUUGUUUGCCAUUUGGUCAGGUGGGAUGCUCAAAAAAAUAAUAAAAUUUGAAAAAACUGUAACAAGUACAUAUUUGACUGCAUAGUCUAUUAAAAUAAUAUAAAAAAGACGAUGUCUAAUCUGCUUGCAAAUGUAUAAUCUGACAAUACUGAAAAUGGCACAUACCAGUCUAUAGAAAAUCCUGCACUAAAAAUAUACUGUACACUUGAAGAGAAACCUCACAUGGGUAUUUGAACCAUCAAAUGUUGACAAAUGUGCUUUUACUGUAAUUGUAGUAUUCUUGUAUGAAAUUGUAAACUGUAGUAAACACUGUGUUAUAUUUACCAAAGUAAGGUUAAAUAACAUAGUAAAUAGUAUGUCCAACAGUAUGUAACAAUAACAAUUUUGUCAGGUACUUGCCUAUUUAUGUGAUGACCUGCAUUUGUGUUUUUUCAAUGAUAAUAACAGACAUUUUAUACAUUUUCAAUUAAAAUUUUCAUUAAAAAACUUGAAACCUCUGUAACAGCAGAGAAAUGUGCAAAACCACCCUAAAGCACACGUUUUAGCUCCUUUAUUUUUUAGGCUGUCGAAUAGACCAACUUCUCAGUCUCUGAUGACGACAGAUGUUUUUUAGAUUUGAUGUCUUGACAAGAGGGUUGGCAGUGUAUAACAACAGGAUGUGUGGUCUACCAAACUAUGCUACCUGCAAAUGUUUCUUUAAACAAAUGUUCACUCUGCAAGCAGAACUGCACACAUUCAACAGGACGCUUGUUCCAAUGUGAAAACAAAUUCAGAUUUUUGUUAGUAGACAUAGUAUAUCUCAUACCCGUUUAGUAAGCAAACAGUAACAGAUCAUCAGUGAUU